CUAGCGACUUCAGAGUUUGAUCCUGGCUCAGGAUGAACGCUGGCGGCGUGCUUAACACAUGCAAGUCGAACGGACGAUUUUUGAUUGCUUGCAAUUUUAAAUUGUUAGUGGCGGACGGGUGAGUAACGCGUGGGUAACCUGCCUCAUACAGGGGGAUAACAGUCAGAAAUGACUGCUAAUACCGCAUAAGCGCACAGCAUCGCAUGAUGCAGUGUGAAAAACUCCGGUGGUAUGAGAUGGACCCGCGUUGGAUUAGCUAGUUGGCAGGGUAGAGGCCUACCAAGGCGACGAUCCAUAGCCGGCCUGAGAGGGUGAACGGCCACAUUGGGACUGAGACACGGCCCAG
Molecule: ribosomal RNA, 346 nt
Filed under: uncultured bacterium
Lineage: Bacteria
Description: bacterial SSU rRNA
Rfam family: Bacterial small subunit ribosomal RNA
Source: RNAcentral